GGGUACUUUCUCUAGUGGUUAGGAUGUUUGACUCCCAGACCAAAGGUUCUGGGUUCGAUCCCCCAAAUGCCCA
Non-coding RNA from Merluccius polli (Benguela hake), 73 nucleotides. The record is from the annotation of a GenBank genome assembly. NCBI's taxonomy places the organism in Eukaryota, Metazoa, Chordata, Actinopteri, Gadiformes, Merlucciidae.